This is a non-coding RNA of Schistosoma mattheei, 78 nucleotides long. Lineage: Eukaryota; Metazoa; Platyhelminthes; Trematoda; Strigeidida; Schistosomatidae. The record is from Rfam.
AGUCUUCUGUAUCCGUGCUGAGAUUUCGUCACACAUUAGAAAACAAGGGCUGACCAGACUCACAAGAUAAAUGAAGCG